GGAAACAGAUGCUAAUACCGGAUAACAACAGAUGAUGCCUAUCAACUGUUUAAAAGAUGGUUCUGCUAUCACUCUUGGAUGGACCUGCGGGUGCAUUAGCUAGUUGGUAGGGUAACGGCCUACCAAGGCGAUGAUGCAUAGCCGAGUUGAGAGACUGAUCGGCCACAUUGGGACUGAGACACGGCCCAAACUCCUACGGGAGGCAGCAGUU
Molecule: ribosomal RNA, 211 nt
Filed under: uncultured Lactobacillus sp.
Lineage: Bacteria; Bacillati; Bacillota; Bacilli; Lactobacillales; Lactobacillaceae
Description: partial 16S ribosomal RNA
Rfam family: Bacterial small subunit ribosomal RNA
Source: RNAcentral